UACAGAGGUCUCAAGCGCUGUUCGGAUUCAUUGGGCGUAAAGGGUGCGUAGGCGGCGCGGUAAGUCGGGUGUGAAAUCUCGGGGCUUAACUCCGAAACUGCAUUCGAUACUGCCGUGCUUGAGGACUGGAGAGGAGACUGGAAUUUACGGUGUAGCGGUGAAAUGCGUAGAUAUCGUAAGGAAGACCAGUGGCGAAGGCGGGUCUCUGGACAGUUCCUGACGCUGAGGCACGAAGGUCAGGGGAGCAAACGGG
Molecule: ribosomal RNA, 253 nt
Filed under: uncultured bacterium
Lineage: Bacteria
Description: partial 16S ribosomal RNA
Rfam family: Bacterial small subunit ribosomal RNA
Source: RNAcentral